GACGAACGCUGGCGGCGUGCUUAACACAUGCAAGUCGAACGAUGAAGAAGAGAAACGCGAACUUCGGUUCAAAUUUCACUUCGGAUUAGUGGCAGACGGGUGAGUAACGCGUGAGCAACCUACCUCUUACAAAGGGAUAGCCUCGGGAAACCGUGAUUAAUACCAUAUGACACAUUCAUAAGGCAUCUUAAGAAUGUUAAAGCUACGGCGGUAAGAGAUGGGCUCGCGUCCCAUUAGCUAGUUGGUGAGGUAACGGCCCACCAAGGCGACGAUGGGUAACCGGCCUGGGAGGGUGAACGGUCACAUUGGAACUGAGACACGGUCCAAACUCCUACGGGAGGCAGCAGUGGGGAAUAUUGCACAAUGGAGGGAACUCUGAUGCAGCGACGCCGCGUGAGCGAUGAAGGAAUUCGUUUCGUAAAGCUCUGUUCUAUGGGAAGAAAAGGACUGUACCAUAGGAGAAAGCCCCGGCUAAAUACGUG
RNAcentral lists this ribosomal RNA (482 nucleotides) under uncultured bacterium. RNAcentral's name for it is "partial 16S ribosomal RNA". It matches the Rfam family "Bacterial small subunit ribosomal RNA", at positions 28 to 507 of the family's 1533-position model. The record is from RNAcentral.